This is a non-coding RNA of Bos taurus (domestic cattle), 72 nucleotides long. Lineage: Eukaryota; Metazoa; Chordata; Mammalia; Artiodactyla; Bovidae. The record is from Rfam.
UCCCUGGUGGCUCAGAGGGUAACGUGUCUGCCUGUAAUGCAGGAGACCCGGGUUCGAUCCCUGGGUCGGGAA